GUGAAUCAUCGAAUCUUUGAACGCAACUUGCGCCUCUCUGAGGCAUGUCUGUUUGAGUGCCGCAUACUCUCUGCAGCAAUGCGACAUGGCCAUUGUCUCUGGACUGGGCCUAAACAAAGCCAGAUAGUGGCCGGCGUGGUUAGCCCGAGUGCUAAGCAUUCUCGAACUAAUCACACUGCCAUAAAUCUAUUCUAUCUUUGGCCUCAAAUCAGGCAAGACUACCCGCUGAACUUAAGCAUAUCAAUAAGCGGAGGA
RNAcentral lists this unclassified non-coding RNA (255 nucleotides) under Rozellomycota sp. RNAcentral's name for it is "Cryptomycota sp. partial contains 5.8S ribosomal RNA, internal transcribed spacer 2, and large subunit ribosomal RNA". The stretch from base 199 to 255 matches the Rfam family "Eukaryotic large subunit ribosomal RNA", at positions 1 to 57 of the family's 3401-position model. Lineage: Eukaryota; Fungi; Rozellomycota. The record is from RNAcentral.